GUAACAGAAGAAGGAAAGGAAAAGAAAGUCAACAUUGACUUUGAACCUUUCAAACCAAUUAAUACGUCAUUGUAUUUGUGUGACAACAAAUUCCAUACAGAGGCUCUUACAGCACUACUUUCAGAUGAUAGCAAGUUUGGAUUCAUUGUAAUAGAUGGUAGUGGUGCACUUUUUGGCACACUCCAAGGAAACACAAGAGAAGUCCUGCACAAAUUCACUGUGGAUCUCCCAAAGAAACACGGUAGAGGAGGUCAGUCAGCCUUGCGUUUUGCCCGUUUAAGAAUGGAAAAGCGACAUAACUAUGUUCGGAAAGUAGCAGAGACUGCUGUGCAGCUGUUUAUUUCUGGGGACAAAGUGAAUGUGGCUGGUCUAGUUUUAGCUGGAUCCGCUGACUUUAAAACUGAACUAAGUCAAUCUGAUAUGUUUGAUCAGAGGUUACAAUCAAAAGUUUUAAAAUUAGUUGAUAUAUCCUAUGGUGGUGAAAAUGGAUUCAACCAAGCUAUUGAGUUAUCUACUGAAGUCCUCUCCAACGUGAAAUUCAUUCAAGAGAAGAAAUUAAUAGGUAUCGGUGAAAUGCAACUACAUAUUCUGUGAAAUGUUUUCGUGUGUGUGUGUGUAUGUAUGUAUGUACUUGAUUGUAUGUAUGAGACAAGGUACCAAAAAUGUAAAAAGGAAUAUUUAGUAUUUUUAUUAACUCUUUUGCCUCAGUAAAAGCAUUAUUUUUUAUCUUCUUUAGUCAUUAGGUUGAAUAGGUGUGUUUGUGUCUACUAGGGAAACUUUAAUAUAUAUCCUAUUGACUGAUCCCUAAUCAUAGGACGAUACUUUGAUGAAAUCAGCCAGGACACGGGCAAGUACUGUUUUGGCGUUGAAGAUACACUAAAGGCUUUGGAAAUGGGAGCUGUAGAAAUUCU
RNAcentral lists this small RNA (911 nucleotides) under Pongo abelii (Sumatran orangutan). RNAcentral's name for it is "retained intron". Lineage: Eukaryota; Metazoa; Chordata; Mammalia; Primates; Hominidae. The record is from RNAcentral.